Molecule: ribosomal RNA, 497 nt
Filed under: uncultured bacterium
Lineage: Bacteria
Description: partial 16S ribosomal RNA
Rfam family: Bacterial small subunit ribosomal RNA
Source: RNAcentral
GAUGAACGCUGGCGGCGUGCCUAAUACAUGCAAGUCGAGCGAACAGAUGAGGAGCUUGCUCCUCUGACGUUAGCGGCGGACGGGUGAGUAACACGUGGAUAACCUACCUAUAAGACUGGGAUAACUUUGGGAAACCGGAGCUAAUACCGGAUAAUAUAUUGAACCGCAUGGUUCAAUAGUGAAAGACGGUUUUGCUGUCACUUAUAGAUGGAUCCGCGCCGCAUUAGCUAGUUGGUAAGGUAACGGUUUACCAAGGCAACGAUGCGUAGCCGACCUGAGAGGGUGAUCGGCCACACUGGAACUGAGACACGGUCCAGACUCCUACGGGAGGCAGCAGUAGGGAAUCUUCCGCAAUGGGCGAAAGCCUGACGGAGCAACGCCGCGUGAGUGAUGAAGGUCUUCGGAUCGUAAAACUCUGUUAUUAGGGAAGAACAAAUGUGUAAGUAACUAUGCACGUCUUGACGGUACCUAAUCAGAAAGCCACGGCUAACUACGUG